This 253-nucleotide ribosomal RNA is filed under the name uncultured bacterium. RNAcentral describes it as "partial 16S ribosomal RNA". It matches the Rfam family "Bacterial small subunit ribosomal RNA", at positions 524 to 776 of the family's 1533-position model. The record is from RNAcentral.
UACGUAGGGUGCAAGCGUUGUCCGGAAUUAUUGGGCGUAAAGAGCUCGUAGGCGGUUCGUCGCGUCGGCUGUGAAAUCCCGAGGCUCAACCUCGGGUCUGCAGUCGAUACGGGCGGACUGGAGUUCGGCAGGGGAGACUGGAAUUCCUGGUGUAGCGGUGAAAUGCGCAGAUAUCAGGAGGAACACCGGUGGCGAAGGCGGGUCUCUAGUACGGUACUGACGCUGAGACGCGAAAGCGUGGGGAGCGAACAGG